Molecule: transfer RNA, 93 nt
Filed under: Streptomyces lomondensis
Lineage: Bacteria; Bacillati; Actinomycetota; Actinomycetes; Kitasatosporales; Streptomycetaceae
Description: tRNA-Pro
Source: RNAcentral
CGACGGCGGAGCAGCGGCUCGCGGCGGCCCGGCUGCGGGAGCCGGAGCCCUGGUUCUCCCAGGGCUUCCCGGCGUUCGAGGCCUGGCUGUCGG